This is a non-coding RNA of Pimephales promelas (fathead minnow), 1558 nucleotides long. The record is from RefSeq and is a predicted model, not a curated record. NCBI's taxonomy places the organism in Eukaryota, Metazoa, Chordata, Actinopteri, Cypriniformes, Leuciscidae.
AACUGUUCAAUAGUUUGAUAUCUUUUACUAUUUAAGACACCUUACAGCUUCUCAUGGCAACGAUCAACUAGAAUCGAAGCUAAACCGGGAAAAAAUGGACAAAAUGAGGACCAUCUCAUCAGACCCAGCGACAUGACACCAGCUUGAACUCGCUGGGAAAUCUUUCACCCUCAAUUGAAAUGACUGGAUUUCAUCUGCGAAAAUUUCCCAAACAACUUGUGGCCGCACAUUUAGUAAAUGAAAAUGAGUCUGUGAUGUUCUACGUCUAAGUCGCGUCAAAUAUCGGCAAUCUAGUUUUUUUUUAUUAUUAUUAUUAUUUUCAGUCGCAUUUUGUAGUUCCAUCAGCCGAGUGAUCGACGCUAAUGGAAAACAACAAAAGGGGCUCUAUAUGAAACACUGGCGUUCUGGACUCGAUUAAAAAAAAACCUUUAUGCAAAAAAGAUUCUAUAUAAGGAGAAAGGUCUUAAAUGAUUGCAUAAUGUUUAAUGUUGGGUUAUUGUUUUUUUUCUGGCAAUUAAGUAUGUUGAUUCUCCAACUUUAUUCAAAAUAAACUAUGAUUAAAUAAUUUAAAUUCAUAAAAUGAUCUCAUGAUAGAUUCCCAUAAAUGAAGCCCCUGACAGAACCCUUAAAGCCCCACGGAAGUGCGCAGCAUUAUGUAGAGUUGACUUCAUUUCCUCUGAAACAGGAACACAGGUAAUGGCAUAUCAAUCAGCGCCUCCCCUUUUAUGAAAUAGCCAAUAGCGUUUAGCUCAUAUCAAAGCUCUAAUGUGAAGCCAGACUUCAUUCGCCCCAAUGGAGAGCACAUUUACACUGACUGAAGCCACAGCUUCAGCGUCUAUUUUUAAUGUAUAGGGCGGGACACAAAUAGUCAUAGUUUUGGAGCACACUAGCUUAUAGAUAACAUAUUCAAACGAAAAGACAAAAAACUUCCAGUCUGAUUUCACGGGGACUUUAAAGCUUCCAUCUAUAGAAACGCUUCUUCUGAUUGAAGAAUCUCACAGCCUCAUUUUCAUUUGUGUAAAAUUAAGUAUUGGUGACUACGCUUCAUUUGAUAAAACAAGAGAAAGAAAGACAACAGGCACCUGAUCUCUGGGGGAGGAGGAGGAAACUCUUGGUCCACAUCAUCAUACACAUCUGAGGACAGCAGAACCCAAACACAUCAGUGCACGAAGACUCUCAAAGCAAUGCAUGAACCCGUCUGAAAGACUAGCCUGUGUGCGCUAACUCACCGUCGCUGUGGAAACUGCUGCAAAGAGAAGAAAACACACACCAUGAGCUCACGCGUUUGAGUGGUCAGGCGCAUGUGUGUGUGUUCGCGGGGUCUCACCUGUCGUGCGCGCCGCUGGAGCCGAUGUCGUCGUAGCAUUCUGGGUCCGCAGACGGGGCGGCUUGGCCACGGAUCUUACGCUUCACUUCCUCAUAAUCCACAUCCACACACGAGUUACUGAUGUAGCCCACUGCAAUGGUUUCGCGCCAGCCAUUUCCCCUCGGGGUUGUUGUUGACGCGGAUGAUCUCCACGCUCUCGCCCUGCCGCACCAUCAGGUCACUCUUCCCGCC